UCCGAGUUGUCCCCGGCGGUCCCCUUAGAGUCCCCGGCAUUACCCGCUGGCAACUAAGAGCAGGGGUUGCGCUCGUUGCGGCACUUAAGCCAACACCUCACGGCACGAGCUGACGACAGCCAUGCAGCACCUGUGCAGGGCCCCGAAGGACACGGGCUUUCACCCGCUUUACCCUGCAUGUCAAGCCCAGGUAAGGUGGGGAUGACGUUGCACGCAAUAACA
Molecule: unclassified non-coding RNA, 222 nt
Filed under: uncultured Actinomycetes bacterium
Lineage: Bacteria; Bacillati; Actinomycetota; Actinomycetes
Description: uncultured actinobacterium contains 16S-23S intergenic spacer region
Source: RNAcentral